GAGAUCUGGUGCCCUCUUCUGGCCUGCAGGGAUACAUGCAGGCUGACCUGCUUCAGGCUUCUGGGUGCCAGGCUUACCUGUGUGCACCACUGCACCUGGCUCAUUCAGAGUGUGCUUCACAGUAGUGCUCAGCCAUGUGAGCCAUGGAAGUUGCUGUGAACAACACAGCACAGUGCUGUUCACUUCUUUUUUCUGCCGAAGAGUGUGAGUUCUGGCUGUGCACUUUCUUAGCAUCACCUUGGAGUGAGUUAACACAGGUAAUACUUCACAGAAGAGUGAUAUGAACAGCCACAUAGAUACAGUGUAGGCUCAGGAAAACACGUGACAUUUUGGAAGCCUGGAAGCACUGAUUUAUGUGCAGUGUCAGUCAGAUAGGGAAAGAUCUGUUCAACCUUUACUCACUAUGAGGUUAUUAAAAAACACAACAGAUAUUUAAUAGGAAAAAUAUGUAGAACUUAUUGUUGGCCGAUGUUCUAGGUGACAGGGUGUUUAUUACCUCUAUGAAAUAAAAAAUACUAAAUUUGAA
Non-coding RNA from Cricetulus griseus (Chinese hamster), 526 nucleotides. The record is from RefSeq and is a predicted model, not a curated record. NCBI's taxonomy places the organism in Eukaryota, Metazoa, Chordata, Mammalia, Rodentia, Cricetidae.